UUUCCGUAGGUGAACCUGCGGAAGGAUCAUUGUCGAAACCUGCCCAGCAGAACGACCCGCGGACUUGUAUACACAACCGGGGGCGGGGGGCGUUCUCGCCCCGUGCCCCCGAACGGCGGGGAGACACUCGUGCCUUCUUGCCGAACAACGAACCCCGGCGCGGUCUGCGCCAAGGAACUUCAACUAAAGAGUGCCUCCGGUCGCCUCGGAAACGGCGUGCGUGCCGGGGGCGAAUCUUGUGCAAAACCAUAACGACUCUCGGCAACGGAUAUCUCGGCUCUC
Molecule: unclassified non-coding RNA, 282 nt
Filed under: plant metagenome
Description: partial contains small subunit ribosomal RNA, internal transcribed spacer 1, and 5.8S ribosomal RNA
Source: RNAcentral